GGCCAAAGUCGAACUUGGAGGUUGUGCCCUUGAGGCGUGGCUUCCGGAGCUAACGCGUUAAGUCGACCGCCUGGGGAGUACGGCCGCAAGGUUAAAACUCAAAUGAAUUGACGGGGGCCCGCACAAGCGGUGGAGCAUGUGGUUUAAUUCGAUGCAACGCGAAGAACCUUACCUGGUCUUGACAUCCACGGAAGUUUUCAGAGAUGAAAAUGUGCCUUCGGGAACCGUGAGACAGGUGCUGCAUGGCUGUCGUCAGCUCGUGUUGUGAAAUGUUGGGUUAAGUCCCGCAACGAGCGCAACCCUUAUCCUUUGUUGCCAGCGGUCCGGCCGGGAACUCAAAGGAGACUGCCAGUGAUAAACUGGAGGAAGGUGGGGAUGACGUCAAGUCAUCAUGGCCCUUACGACCAGGGCUACACACGUGCUACAAUGGCGCAUACAAAGAGAAGCGACCUCGCGAGAGCAAGCGGACCUCAUAAAGUGCGUCGUAGUCCGGAUUGGAGUCUGCAACUCGACUCCAUGAAGUCGGAAUCGCUAGUAAUCGUGGAUCAGAAUGCCACGGUGAAUACGUUCCCGGGCCUUGUACACACCGCCCGUCACACCAUGGGAGUGGGUUGCAAAAGAAGUAGGUAGCUUAACCUUCGGGAGGGCGCUUACCACUUUGUGAUUCAUGACUGGGGUGAAGUCGUACAAGGGGUAACCGGGA
RNAcentral lists this ribosomal RNA (703 nucleotides) under Escherichia coli. Its description in RNAcentral is "bacterial SSU rRNA". It matches the Rfam family "Bacterial small subunit ribosomal RNA", at positions 801 to 1507 of the family's 1533-position model. The record is from RNAcentral. Lineage: Bacteria; Pseudomonadati; Pseudomonadota; Gammaproteobacteria; Enterobacterales; Enterobacteriaceae.